Long non-coding RNA from Manis pentadactyla (Chinese pangolin), 840 nucleotides. RefSeq lists it as uncharacterized. The transcript is spliced from 3 exons. NCBI's taxonomy places the organism in Eukaryota, Metazoa, Chordata, Mammalia, Pholidota, Manidae. The record is from RefSeq and is a predicted model, not a curated record.
ACCUUUUAAAGUGGCUGAUGUCCCUCACCCUGGACAGGUUUGGGAAACUGCUGGGUACACACUGGAUGUUGGAAAGAGAGAGAGGAUGAUGCCCAGAAUUGGCUGACCUGUGUCAGAUGGUCGUGGAAUAUCCAAUCACUGAAGAGGUGCCGGUAAAAAAAGAUUCCACACAACAAACACCUUCCUUAUCUUCCAUAGCAAACUUCCCUCCUUCCUCAGUGCUGAAAAUGGAUCUAGAGCAGACUGACUGCCCUCAGUGGAGUGACCAGAAAACAAGCUAUAUUCCAGUGGGUUGGGAAAUGCAUGGAGAUUAAGAAGAAGUGAUAGAGAAUUUAGAUUACUUUUGAAGAGAAACUAAUGUAUGAGGGCCAUGAAAGGUGUAUUAUGAUUUCUGGUGAUGACAGUGGCAGGGUAGGGGGGAUGAAAACAGAUGGAGAGUUGCUUUUGAAGAUUUGAAUGGUUUAAAUGAAUAUUUUCUUAAAUGUUGAGGGGAAGAACAAGUAGAUGGGGAGAAUGUAAUAAUAAAUGAAUUAGAAAAAACCAGGUGCUUGAGGAAAUGAAAACGUGGACUCCAGAACACAGAUGAAAGGAUUAUCACAGUCAAGAGGAAGACUACUCCCUUCAGUGAGACAGGAAGGUAAGUGGGUGCGAAGUUGAACUUGUUUGAAAUAUCCUGGCCUGUUUCUAGGUUACCUAAGAAUCUGAUUUCAGAAUUACGUAAUUCAGAACUCAGAUGAGAAUGGCAGCAUAGUUUGGAUCUGAGGUUGGAAACCACAGAAGGGAGUGGCAGACACCACAGCACAUGAAAACUGCAGGGGGACUGGAGACCUACAGACACCC